Molecule: ribosomal RNA, 253 nt
Filed under: uncultured bacterium
Lineage: Bacteria
Description: partial 16S ribosomal RNA
Rfam family: Bacterial small subunit ribosomal RNA
Source: RNAcentral
UACGUAGGUGGCAAGCGUUACUCGGAAUCACUAGGCGUAAAGCGCAGGUAGGCGGUUCGGUAAGUCUUUUGUGAAAGCUCCUGGCUCAACUGGGAGAGGUCAAAGGAAACUACCGAGCUAGAGUUUGGUAGGGGAGACUGGAAUUCCUGGUGUAGCGGUGAAAUGCGUAGAUAUCAGGAGGAAUACCUAUGGCGAAAGCAGGUCUCUGGGCCAUAACUGACGCUGAGCUGCGAAAGCUAGGGGAGCAAACAGG